UCGACUCUCGCCGCCGCCGCCGCCGCCGCGAGCCGCGUCGUGCGGGAACGCGAGGGUUUUUCCAGGGGGAUGGAUUUGGGGUCGUGCUACCUCGGCGGCAACGCCGACGCGGUGGAGUUCUGCCCGCACCGCCCCUUCCGCCACGUCCUCGCCGCCGCCACCUACACGCUGCAGGAGCAGGGCGGGGAGCGGCAGGACCGCGCGGGCAGCGUGUCGCUCUUCGCCGUCGACGCCGGCGAGGAGGACGCGCCCCGGAGGCUCCGGCUGCUCCACACGGUGGAGACCGCCGGGGUGUUCGACAUGAAGUGGAGCCCCGUGGCGCCUCUGCUCGCGCAGGCCGACGCCCACGGCCGCCUCGCGCUCUGGCGCCUGGAGCAGGAGGACGGAUCGGACAAAGGUGCUGUUCUCAGGGAUGUCUGUUCUGGAGACAUUUCUUCUUCGAUGUGCUUGUUUGUGGACUGGAACCAAACUGCCAAGGCACUUUCCGUUGGAUUAUCGGAUGGUUCCCUGUCUGUGGUUUCCAUGAGGGAGGACCGCUUGGAGGUAUCAGAACAGUGGACUGCUCAUCAGUAUGAAGUGUGGACUUGCUAUUUUGAUCGUGCAAAUCCACACUUGUUAUACAGCGGAUCAGACGACUGCUCCUUCAGCUGCUGGGACUUGCGACAGAACCCAUCAAAUGCUGUGUUUCAGAACAAAAAGUCGCAUAAUAUGGGUGUCUGUUGCAUUGCUCAGAAUCCACUAGAGGGGAACAUGCUACUUACUGGAAGCUAUGAUGAAUUUCUCAGAGUUUGGGACAUAAGAUCAAUGGUGAAACCCGUUAAUGUGAAGUCCCUAAAUUUAGGGGGUGGUGUAUGGAGGAUUAAAUAUCAUCCUCUUAUUGCAGAUGUUGUCUUGGCUGCAUGCAUGCACAAUGGGUUUGCCAUUGUUAAAGUAGGUACUGGGGAUGCUGCAGUAGUGGAAACAUAUUGCAAGCAUGAGUCCUUAGCAUAUGGUGCGGAUUGGCAGAUAAAUGAAGGUGCAGAACAGAACAAGAAUUUUUCAGUUGUUGCUACCUGUUCAUUUUAUGAUCGACUCCUCCGUGUGUGGCAACCGGAGAACCUAGGCAAUCUUUAAGAGUGAAAGUGCCAUUGCACUCAGUUCAAGUAUCACUAUGUGGACUUGUUUCCAGGAACCUGUUUUGAUAUUAUCAUUGUUUGGAUUUGUGGUGAAAACAUGGACGAUAUGGGUCGAUUAUGGCAUCGAAUAUGAUCUAUAGGUAAGUUUGAAGAUGUGUUUGAAGAUCAUUCACCAUUGAAUUGAUUGACAGCAUAGCUGAGUCUGCAGAGUUCAGUUCUGGUAAUGCCCAUAAAUUUUGAAGGUGCGGAAGGAAAAUGAGGGCAGAAGAUAGGAAAUACCAUUAAAGUUGCAUUCACGUAAUAUUCGAAGCACAGCUGAAAAUUACUUGCCUUAUAUCGUGACAUGUAGGGAAUGGAUCUUUCUGUGUUACUCCCUUUGGGGCAAUGUUACUUCUUACAUGAAUAAUGCUUGACCUUUUUCUAAAAUACUGUGUUUUGACCUUGACAUUCUGUUUGAGAUCUAUAUAGAAUGCUUUUAAGACUCUUUUUUGAAGCAUUAUGACCCUUGUGGUUCACUGUUUUCCUUUUAGUUUCUGUUUGCUACAAAGUGACUCAUUGUUGGUUGCUACUGUAAGUUGUGAACAUAAACAACAGAAUUGAUGGCUCAUGGCUAGAUAUUAUAUCAUACAUAAAGAAACAUAGCACCAUAGGCAUCUAGAUCAUGCUGCAGAUGCAAGUAAGGUGCUCCUGUUAAUAAGUUGGCACUAGUUCUCAAUCAACCAAAAUAAUUACCGAACACAUGCAAACCAAGUUAUAAUCCUGUUCCUUUUCUUCUUUUUUUUUUGAGAAAAAUACUUUCAGAGUUGGGCAAAUGUAGGUAGUCAAACAUGGUCCCUGCUUGGUCAAGAAUGAUUCUGGGAUAAUGUGCUCUCCUAAUGUAUCUAAAGCCAGCUCCAGAUUUGUUACUGCUCAAUGGCCAGUGCAUGUUAUGUCUGGUCGAUGAAAACAAUUGAUCCUCUAUUGGCUAGGAUACAGUUCUAAUAAGCUGCUACUUGAUAGCCAGCUAUUCAGGCACAAAGUGGUUGAACCAUCCAGUUUUCAUUGGUUUCUAACAAAACUAGAUAGAAUAUGUGAUUCUUGAUAUUGCUUGUUCUUCACAAAAUUGACGGGGGAUGGCAUAUUAUGACCAAUGGUACCCAACCAAUUGGUAUUGGCGGGACCUUGAAUCUUGACUGGUAUAUGAUGUUACUGAUUGGGUGCAUUUCUGAGAGGGUAUUCACUAUCUCCAUGUCAGCCACCUAUUAAAAAAAAGUCAAAAGUUCAGAAAUUUUCAUAGGAGUGUUCGACUUGUUUGUGCCCAGCAACUAAAUCCCACUUCGGUGAAGCGGUUGAACCCCACAAUCGGUGCUAGUGAUUUCCUCCCUGUACAAGUGGAAAAUUCCAUCCUAAAAUACAGUUAGUUCUUUUUCUGUUUUGUUUAGUUAUAUGCAUAUAAGGAUGCCUCCGUUGGGCUCAAGAGCUCUAGUCGUACAUGAAACUGAGAUCUUAUCGAAUUUAAGUGCAUGUUAUGGAAGCUGAUUUAUUUAGAGGGAGGGACUUCUGACUUUGUCAUCCAGGAUUUGGAAAUGUAAUGCUUUGGAUAAACAUGAGUUAGUGGCUAAACAGGAGUGUCACAUUGUUCUAACUCCACACUCUUAAAGGCAUAGCUCUAAAGGUGGAGAGUGCUCCUUCAGCUUUUUGUAAUGGGUGCCUUUCUUUUUUGCCCCCUCUCUUGCUGAUAGUAGAUUCAGUCACACAUCAUGAGUUUUUGAAGUUCGUUUUGUUGGUGAGGGCUUAAGUACAAGAUUCUGGGUUCUUUGCAAUUGAUUUCUCUGGAGAAGUACCUGCAGACAUCAGCAACCUCGUCAAGGUAUAAAGUAGCUUUCCCCCUCGUCUUGUUUGUACUCACUACUAACCAUGGAAGAUGAAUGGCUUGAACAUGCACAUGGUUCUUGAGAGCAGCAGGAGGAGGAGGAUGAAGAGCAAUGGCUAAGCUCCAGUUCAAGAAGCUCUUCAACUCCAUGGUGCCUUUCCGGCCUCCUAGGUGGUCGGCUGAGGUACGCACCAAACCGGCAAGUCACAAAACGGCAAUGGUGAAACUCCAGCAGGAGUCCACCCUUUUCUUUUCUGCAUUUCCAUCCUUCCAGUUGUAUCAGGUGGUGGCGAAAUAAUCAGAAAUAUCUGUGUGAUCCUUAAUAUCAGGUGGUGGCAAAAUUAUUGAUACCUAAUUGCUGAGUCAAUGCUUGUUUUAUGUGUACUCUGGAAAUUGCCCUACUACUAAUAAAUGGCUGCUUUUUAUCUAGAAAGAUGCUAUGUUGUCUCA
RNA transcript from Oryza sativa Japonica Group (Japanese rice), 3417 nucleotides. RefSeq lists it as uncharacterized. The record is from RefSeq and is a predicted model, not a curated record. Lineage: Eukaryota; Viridiplantae; Streptophyta; Magnoliopsida; Poales; Poaceae.